RNAcentral lists this ribosomal RNA (453 nucleotides) under uncultured bacterium. Its description in RNAcentral is "bacterial SSU rRNA". It matches the Rfam family "Bacterial small subunit ribosomal RNA", at positions 96 to 562 of the family's 1533-position model. The record is from RNAcentral.
UGGCGGACGGGUGAGUAACGCGUGAGCAACCUGCCUCACAGAGGGGGAUAACACACGGAAACGUGUGCUAAUACCGCAUAAUCCGAUGAAGCGGCAUCGCUUUAUCGGCAAAGGAGCAAUCCGCUGUGAGAUGGGCUCGCAUCCGAUUAGAUAGUUGGUGAGGUAACGGCUCACCAAGUCUACGAUCGGUAGCCGGACUGAGAGGUUGGACGGCCACAUUGGGACUGAGACACGGCCCAAACUCCUACGGGAGGCAGCAGUGAGGGAUAUUGCACAAUGGGCGAAAGCCUGAUGCAGCGACGCCGCGUGAGGGAUGACGGUCUUCGGAUUGUAAACCUCUGUCCUUGGUGAAGAAGAAAGUGACGGUAGCCAAGGAGGAAGCCACGGCUAACUACGUGCCAGCAGCCGCGGUAAUACGUAGGUGGCAAGCGUUGUCCUGAAUUACUGGGUGUA